Callithrix jacchus (white-tufted-ear marmoset) is the source of this 4539-nucleotide long non-coding RNA. RefSeq lists it as uncharacterized. The record is from RefSeq and is a predicted model, not a curated record. Lineage: Eukaryota; Metazoa; Chordata; Mammalia; Primates; Cebidae.
UCUACGCCACUUCUCCAAGAAGCAAAUGUAUCCCUAAUAUUGGGUUUCACCACGCCGAGUGCCCUUCAGUUCUCGUCAAAUUCCAUUCUUUGUCCCCUGUAUUCUUUUCUCUCUGUGAUUACCACUUCUUUGCGUAUUUCUUCUGGAGCUCUCUACAUAGGCUCUGCCUUGGAGGUAAAUCCUUAGCCUCGAUGAGUAGGCAGCAAGCCCCUCUUGCACACAACAAAGACUUCUAUUUUUUUUCUCUCUAUCUUUUGGGCGACACGAUAAAAAAUAACCCUGUAUUUAUGCAAAUUGCAAAGUAGCGUGUGAUAAUGAAAACAAAACAGUGCUGGCCCGCAGCCAAGACAUGGCGCUGACGGGAGCUCCCCGACCAUUUGGCUCUUGAUUCUUCGGGGAAAGCAGCUGUAGAGAAAUGAGAAUACAGGACCCCCUCCUCACACGCGCACACCCUGGUUCGCACGCAUUCCGGUACCCGUCACCUCGGAGCCAGCAAGACCUGGGAUCCAGACACGGUUCUGCCUCCUCCAGCCGUGGAGCACUGCAGUGUCGUCCUCCACGAGCCUCCCUGCCCCUGCUCCUGAUUCCCUUUCAGGAAUUUACAAACAUUUUCCCCAGAUCAAUAUCCGUAUUGAUUAUUCAUUGUGAGUGAGUCGUGUGUCUUUGGUGAUCCAGCUUGCAGAGGUAGCAGCCAAAGCCUGCUGCAGGGGGAAAAAAAAUAACAGAAGGCGAGAGGGACCCAGCUCUUGCUGGGUCUGCGGCUGUCGGCAUCACAGAAAGGAAGAGAAAAAGAGAAAAGCGUCUCAAAACCAAGCAAUGGACAAGGGUGGAAGAGAAAGAGGGAGCAACAGCAAGAAAAAAGCCAUCGAUGACCGGACAUCUGGUCCCAGGGAAUCUCGAUGGCUUGGAGGAAGCCCCCAUCUUGGGUCUGCUCUUACGUGCAGGACGCAGUGGACUUUCUCUGCUCUGGGAGUGAAAAGUGACUCACAGUUUUGGUAUCUCCUACGUAAGAGCUUUGGGGGGAUUCCUUGGCUUGCUGACAGGCAAGGAAGACAGCAGCAGCGGUGAGGUAAAACACGAUUACUUCCAACUGCCUUGCGGAGGAUGUGCAGUCGUUUGGUUUGACUUGAACAGCUUGCUGCUCUCUGAUGGCACGCGGAGGGAGAAUAAUUAAAAAGGCCAGCAUCACUUACUAACACUCUUCAUCUCAAGUGAGUAAGAAAAAAAGAUAGAAAUCCCCAGAAGAGAGAGAACCCGCCUGUAGUCUGGAAGAAGCCACACGGUGCCUGAGAUAACUUCAACAGGAAAAGGCACUUCAGCCAAAGGCGAAGGCAGCAAGAAGGCUCCUCUUCUCUCACGACGACACCUCACAAUCGUGCGGGGCUUUCCAAUUUCCACGGUGCUCUUCACACAUAUUACCCUGUUUAAUUCUCACUACAACCAGGGAUACAGGCGAGACAGACAGUCUUUAGCUGACUUUACAGAUGAGGGUACUCAGGCUCACAGAGAAGGACUUGCCUAAGGUUGAAAGCUAAUAAGAGACAGUCACAGGUCUUCUGGGUCUUAAUCUGGUGCCAUUUUAGUAUUUUUCAUAGGUUCUUAUAAAAAAUCCUCUUUAGAACCCCUGACCCAAAGCUCCCCUGAUUCUUUUUAAAAAACAAAACCAAAAAACCUCUUUAGAGAUAGGGUCUUACUGUGUUAUCCAGGUUGCAGUGGCAGGGAGUGGUCACAGCUCACUGCAGCCUGAUUCUCCUUGGCUCAGGUAAUCCUCUCACCUCAGCCUCGUAAGUAGCUGGGACUACACGUGCAUACCACCACACCCAGCUAAUUUUUUUUUUUAAGAGAUGGGGUUUCGUCAUGUUGUCCACUCUGGUCUGAAACUCCUGUCCUCAAGCAAUCCUCCUCCCUUGGCCUCCCAAAGUGCUGGAAUUAUGGGCAUGAGCCACCAUAUGCAGCCAUUUUUUUUUUUUAAUAGAACAGGGUCUUGCUUUGUAGCUUGGGCUGGUACUGAACUCCUGGCCUUGAACAAUUUUCCCACCUCAGCCUCCCAAAGUGCUGGGAUUACAGGCGUGAGCCACUGUGACCAGCCCAGUCCUUGAUUCUUGAUCCAUGUUCAUCCCCCACUCACUUCCUCACCAUGAGCUUUUAUCUCAUAGCCUGUGUUAUUUGUAGUUAUGUGCACUUUGAAAAUGCUCCCUGUAUCCUGUCAGCGAGGAAGAACCACUGCUAACUUCCACUGGCAAAGGCAGAAGCCCUCCUUAACUUCCCAUUCCCCUCUAUCUGUUUCUCCUUUCCUUAAAAGUCAAGUUUAUUCAACAAGCUCGUCUACAUUUGUACUGUUUUUACUUUUUCACCCCACUUUGCAUCUCUAUCCAGGACUACCUGCUUUCAUUCCUACUUUCCCAUUAAGACUACAUUAGGUCAUUAACAACCAAUUACACUGUGCCUUCCUCCCAGCAUCAUUGUACUCAGUGACCAUGCCCUCCUCUGUGACGUCUCCUCUGUCACACCUGGCAUCAUUCUAUUCCUUCUUCACUUCUGGCUACCUCCUCUCUAGCUUCAUGUCAGAUUUAUCUUCCUUUACUCAUGCUUUAAAUAUUAAUGUUUCUGAAGAGGGUUUCUGUGGCCAUCUUCCAUUCUUAUUUUUUUUUUUUUUGAGAUGGUGUCUCACACUGUUGCUCAGCCUGGAGUGCAGUGACAUAAUCUUGGCUUACUGCAACCUCUGCCUACUGGGUUCGAGUGCUUCUUUUGCCUCAGCCUUCUGAGUAGCUGGGAUUACAGGCAUGCACAGCUAAUUUUUGUAUUUUUAGUAGAGACAGGGUUUCACCAUGUUGGCCAGGCUAGUCUUGAACUCCUGACCUGAGGUGAUCCACCUGCCUUAGCCUCCCAAAGUGGUGGGAUUACAGACGUGACCCACUGUGCCCGGCCAUCUUCUGUCUUAACUGUAAACAUUUUGCUUUGUGUAAUGUAAAGCCUUGGAUUGAAUGAUCAUCUACAGACUGAUCAUCAAUUACCAUCUCUUCCCAAACCACUCUCCUGAACUCAACCGGGAUCUCUGGCUCCCUGAUGUAACCUCCUUGGGAUGCUCCAGGGCCCUCCAAUUCAGGGCACUCCAAAUCAUCCCCAAACCUGCCUCCCUUCACACUCUUCUCUCUCUCUCAGCUUACCUUCAAAUUCUCUCAAUUCUUUCCCAACUUCUCUCUAACCUCUCUCUCUUUUACUGUAUUCUUGCUGCUCUUCUCUUGGUUUAUUUCCCUAGUAACUGUUUUCAUUCUCAGCUACACCCAGACCACAAUGCAUUCUCUGUUCUGUCUAAUUGACCUACAGAAAGUGCAAAUUGAUGAUCUUGCUUGCCUCUGUGAGAUCCUUCUGAGGAUCCCAACUUCCUACAUGUCCUUCCAGGCUGUUCAUGACCUGGGUGAUGCCUCUCCCUUGCCUGCUCUCUUCUAACUCAUCCAUUUUCCAUGCUCUGCUUCUAGGUCAUGAAAUGCCCCAUAACUCUUUCAUGCCUGUAGGGUUCCAUAUGAGGUUCCUGCUUCCUGGAACAUUCAACUCAGCUUCCUUCAUUUGACCAACUCCUCCUCCCCUUUCAAGACCGUUACAGCAAGAAGCAUCUCACCUCCCACUGAACCCUUCCAUGCUGGGUACGUGCUGCUGCAACCCCCAUUUCCAGCUUCCCUCUCCCACGACAUGACUUCACUUUUGCAAUGACCAAGUUUUCCCAAUUGACCACAAGACGCACAGGCAGAGACUGUGCCUUUCAUCUCCGUGUUCCCAGCACCCAGCACAGAUCCUGACAUAAAUUGGAUGCUUAAUUAAUUAACGUUACAAUUUUUAUUCCAAGUACCAUAAAUAGUAUUUUUCCAGCUGUAAGAUUACAGGCCUCCAAAAUAAUCAAGCUGAGGGAAAUACAGCGACCAUUUCCCAUAGAGAAAAAAGGAUUUCCUAUUGGGCAAUUCUCACCUAUAUCAGUUUUUUGACUUCUGUCAGGCGAGAGACAAACACUGGGGUGGUCUUUAGGUGUUUGCUGAUGUGGUAGAAACUUUGGAGUUAAUUAGAAGCUUUGGCUAAGGCUGAACUUCCUUUGCAGAGUUCCUGGGAGGAAACACUAAAUUAACAGUUAAAGGUUACUGUUAGAAAAAUGGCCUGCUUCCCUAUGUUAUGCCUCAGAGAGUUUGUUCUUCUCUCUGCCAUUUCUAAGAUGUUUCCACUUUCCGUUUGACCUGGGUAUGUUUGCACCCUAAGCCCAGUCAUUCCAACACAGGUGAAAGCUCUUGAGGUCAGGGACUGAUUCUUUGCCUAUCUUCCAGCAGCAGUAGAUUCUGGGGUACUCAAUUAGUACCUGGUGGAGUUGAACAGCGAAAAUCUGCUCAUCACAGAAGAAGGAAUGGGGAUGGUUUUGUAAGUUCCCAUUUUCCACAAAGCCGAAAAUGGCAUGAGAUCAGUAGUACCAGACCCCCCUGGCAGUCCCAAAAAAUAUCUCAAGAUAUUAUGAGCAAUGUCUACAUUUGGAAAUGCACUGAUUCUUGUUAUUUGCAA